Molecule: long non-coding RNA, 1033 nt
Organism: Cyprinus carpio carpio
Lineage: Eukaryota; Metazoa; Chordata; Actinopteri; Cypriniformes; Cyprinidae
Source: Ensembl
GGCUGUUCGAGCGGCACCGGGUUCUGCACCGGGCAGUUCUGUACUGCAUGUCCCUGUUAUUCAACCAUCUUGGGGAAAAGCCUUGCCCGCGGCAAAGGCCAAUUUGUGUUCCUCUCAGGGAGGAUAGAGGGGUUUCCUCCUGAGACCGGAGAGGAACAGAUUGUGGAAUUACUAUUGGGCUACAGGAGUACCGGACCUGCAGGCUUCUGGCACAUGAAGAAUCACUGGAGCAUAUGUCGCCAGCAUGAUUCAUUCAUUUACAUUUAUAGAGUGGAAGUGGGCCAGGUAGCACACCGUGGUGACUGUCAACAGCACCUCCAUCUUCACACACUUCACAUACACCCGUCCCACCAUCCGACCAUAUGUCCCGAGAAACACAAUUUCUAAUGGACAAGGACAGCUGUAUCAGCAUACUUAAAGGAGAGAGAGGCCUAACAUGACCUGUCCUGAUCCACAUCCCCAUCUAUUCACAAAGUGGUCCACGAGCCUGCGAUGCAAAGCAAAGCGACAAUGGGAUCAGUCCGCAUUUGCAUUAUGAGCACACAAUGCAUGACACAAGCUUGCCCAGAGAGAUAUUUCUGCUCAGAAAAUAUCUGGCUUCAGAAGGAUGUGUCUGCAGUGCUCAGCAUCACUCCACUGACUAUGUCUCUUGCUUAUUAACAAACCAGCCUGUCACUUUAUAAACCCUGUUUCAGCUUUCCCUCAGCCGCACACACAUACACAUCAUGAAAUACACUUAGACAAUGACAAACACACAAAUUGUCCAGUCAGUUUAAGUGAAACUCUCACCGUGCACAUGUCAUGUUAGUCACACAGAGCAUGUUGAGGUUUUAAUACAGUAAUGCAUACUAGAAAUGUUAUUAAGAAGGUGGGAAUAAUGAUUAAAAAAAAAAUAAAAAAAAUUGGGGGGUUUCCAAAUUCUUUUAUACCCACAAUUAACCAUGAUGCUGCUGUGAUGCUGAAAAAUGUGUCCUAUCUAGUUUGCUUAUAUUUCUUAACAUAAUGUAAUGUAAUGGUAAGAGGACAACUAACG